RNAcentral lists this long non-coding RNA (894 nucleotides) under Nicotiana tabacum (common tobacco). RNAcentral's name for it is "long non-coding RNA (NTAB_LNC002178)". The record is from RNAcentral. Lineage: Eukaryota; Viridiplantae; Streptophyta; Magnoliopsida; Solanales; Solanaceae.
UGUUUGGAAUUGUUUGUCAAGUACAAGUAGUACUAAGUAUCAACAUCCACAUACAUUUUGUGAAAAACAAGCAAUAGCUGUUAAGCCUCCUUCAAAAACUGAUGAUGAUAAGAAAAAACAAUCCACAAUCAAACUUGGUGUUGUAAUAGGAUUAAUUGCAGGAAUUGUGGUAGUAGUGAGUGCAAUAGGCUUGUUGAUAUUUUUCAUUGUCAAGAAAGUUACAAGAAAUAGAGUUCAAGGGUACAAGAAUGAUAGCUUUGCUUUUGAGAAGAAUUCAACCCUUUCUAAAACUGCUGAUGGAGGUAAAUUUCUUUAAUAAAUCUUGAAUUUUUUAUAUUUUAGAUUGUAGUUUAAUCAAUAUUAUUAUUAACUUGAUUUGAUCAGGGAAUGCAAGGAGGACAAUGAGGUUGACAUCAUUAGGAUUGCCUCCAUAUCAUGUUUUCACUCUUGAGGAAAUGGAAGAUGCAACAAACAAUUUUGAUCCAACUAAUCUAGUUGGAGAAGGUUCCCAGGGUCAGGUAAAAUUGUUUGAUUUCAUUAUAAAAUGAAAAGAAAAAAUAGGAAGAGAUAUUACUAUCUCCGGUCCAUAUUAUUUGUCGGUUUGGAAAAUUGAAUUUAUUUCAAAAUAUUCAACAUUUUAGAAAACAAGAAGCAUUUUUUAUGUUUUUCCCAAUUCACUCUUACUGCUCCGAUUAGUUGAGUGUUAAUUAAGCGAGACGUUUAAGAGAGAGAUAAGUUAUAUUUUAGACUAAGGCUAUUAAAUGUCUUUAUUAAGGGGUAUGCAGCCUUACCUGUAUUUCUGCAAGAGGCUAUUUCCACGGCUCGAACCCAACUUUACGAGUUACGCCAAGGCUCCCCUUCAAAUGCAAAAACCUUAAAAGAAAAGAUAAUAUA